GCUAGUUGGUGAGGUAAUGGCUCACCAAGGCGACGAUCCCUAGCUGGUCUGAGAGGAUGAUCAGCCACACUGGAACUGAGACACGGUCCAGACUCCUACGGGAGGCAGCAGUGGGGAAUAUUGCACAAUGGGCGCAAGCCUGAUGCAGCCAUGCCGCGUGUGUGAAGAAGGCCUUCGGGUUGUAAAGCACUUUCAGUCGUGAGGAAGGUAGUGUAGUUAAUAGCUGCAUUAUUUGACGUUAGCGACAGAAGAAGCACCGGCUAACUCCGUGCCAGCAGCCGCGGUAAUACGGAGGGUGCGAGCGUUAAUCGGAAUUACUGGGCGUAAAGCGCAUGCAGGUGGUUUGUUAAGUCAGAUGUGAAAGCCCGGGGCUCAACCUCGGAAUAGCAUUUGAAACUGGCAGACUAGAGUACUGUAGAGGGGGGUAGAAUUUCAGGUGUAGCGGUGAAAUGCGUAGAGAUCUGAAGGAAUACCGGUGGCGAAGGCGGCCCCCUGGACAGAUACUGACACUCAGAUGCGAAAGCGUGGGGAGCAAACAGGAUUAGAUACCCUGGUAGUCCACGCCGUAAACGAUGUCUACUUGGAGGUUGUGGCCUUGAGCCGUGGCUUUCGGAGCUAACGCGUUAAGUAGACCGCCUGGGGAGUACGGUCGCAAGAUUAAAACUCAAAUGAAUUGACGGGGGCCCGCACAAGCGGUGGAGCAUGUGGUUUAAUUCGAUGCAACGCGAAGAACCUUACCUACUCUUGACAUCCAGAGAACUUUCCAGAGAUGGAUUGGUGCCUUCGGGAACUCUGAGACAGGU
RNAcentral lists this ribosomal RNA (803 nucleotides) under Vibrio sp. MMRF545. Its description in RNAcentral is "bacterial SSU rRNA". It matches the Rfam family "Bacterial small subunit ribosomal RNA", at positions 244 to 1039 of the family's 1533-position model. The record is from RNAcentral. Lineage: Bacteria; Pseudomonadati; Pseudomonadota; Gammaproteobacteria; Vibrionales; Vibrionaceae.